GCUAGAUGUCAGUUCGAUCCUGGAGCUCAGCUGGGAGGAGGCCCACAGACAGCUUUCCUUCAGAUUGGUCACAGAGAAAAUCAUAUCCAGCACAGCAAAAGGAACAACCCAAGUGAAGGAAGGACAAGGAAGACCCAAGAUUCCAGAAAGGAACAGAUGAGCUGGGAGGAUUCAAAAACAGUCACUUCACUUCUUCUUGGGAGCUCUCCUGGAGUGGAUGGUCUGAGGAGGGACCACUGAGAUAGAGGGUCUCUCUGGACAUUGACUACCUUCCAGUAAACCCCAAAUCCCUCUGUACCAGUGGAAGACAAUAAAAGUAGAUUGGGACUUGGCA
This 334-nucleotide long non-coding RNA is filed under the name Monodelphis domestica (gray short-tailed opossum). Its description in RNAcentral is "lncRNA (ENSMODG00000038749.1)". The record is from RNAcentral. Lineage: Eukaryota; Metazoa; Chordata; Mammalia; Didelphimorphia; Didelphidae.